RNAcentral lists this ribosomal RNA (552 nucleotides) under Fusarium tricinctum. RNAcentral's name for it is "eukaryotic LSU rRNA". The stretch from base 181 to 334 matches the Rfam family "5.8S ribosomal RNA". Lineage: Eukaryota; Fungi; Ascomycota; Sordariomycetes; Hypocreales; Nectriaceae. The record is from RNAcentral.
CCGUAGGGGGACCUGCGGAGGGAUCAUUACCGAGUUUACAACUCCCAAACCCCUGUGAACAUACCUUAAUGUUGCCUCGGCGGAUCAGCCCGCGCCCCGUAAAACGGGACGGCCCGCCAGAGGACCCAAACUCUAAUGUUUCUUAUUGUAACUUCUGAGUAAAACAAACAAAUAAAUCAAAACUUUCAACAACGGAUCUCUUGGUUCUGGCAUCGAUGAAGAACGCAGCAAAAUGCGAUAAGUAAUGUGAAUUGCAGAAUUCAGUGAAUCAUCGAAUCUUUGAACGCACAUUGCGCCCGCUGGUAUUCCGGCGGGCAUGCCUGUUCGAGCGUCAUUUCAACCCUCAAGCCCCCGGGUUUGGUGUUGGGGAUCGGCUCUGCCCUUCUGGGCGGUGCCGCCCCCGAAAUACAUUGGCGGUCUCGCUGCAGCCUCCAUUGCGUAGUAGCUAACACCUCGCAACUGGAACGCGGCGCGGCCAUGCCGUAAAACCCCAACUUCUGAAUGUUGACCUCGGAUCAGGUAGGAAUACCCGCUGAACUUAAGCAUAUCAAU